UUUCUACAUGGCAAGAUGACUCCUCAGUAGCUCACUGAAACGACAAAUGAGUGCCCGAUAAUGGUCAAACUCGCCAGAAAUGGGGAGACCAUUGAAUUUGGACAGCUUCAUGGGCCGACUGGUGUUCUUCUACUGAGCUUGCUUGCAGGUGACGAGGCAAGCUGUGAAUUUGUUCAAGCCUCGUGCGGAACAGCAUUGUUGAUGAAUUUUCUAAUGGAAAAUGCGUCAAGCCAUUGGCACCGAAGAUGUGCAUUAAGGAGCCGUCAAGAGUUCACAGGACAGAAUUGAAUAGCAAGGGAGUUCCAAACGAAUUAGUGACUCACUUUCUCAGCUAAGCUCAGUUUGCAGGUCCUCCUCUUAUCUUAAUGACUUCACCUACUUGUAAGCAUCAAUUCAGGCUCCAAACUCAAAUGUCUCAUUAGUCUCUUCCACUAGUUUCUGUUAGAUACAGAGCUUGUGAUCGAAGAUGCCUGCAUAAAAAUUAAUGAUCAUCUCCUGUUAUUAUUUCUUUGCUCUCUAUAUAUCGAUUUGAUCUCUGGUUCUUAAAA
This is a long non-coding RNA of Eucalyptus grandis, 548 nucleotides long. RefSeq lists it as uncharacterized. The transcript is spliced from 2 exons. The record is from RefSeq and is a predicted model, not a curated record. Lineage: Eukaryota; Viridiplantae; Streptophyta; Magnoliopsida; Myrtales; Myrtaceae.